UUAGAAGUAGAGUGGAUGAAGACAAAUGAAGAAAUCCAGGUGCUGCUGUUUAUGGGGGGGCAGUACAGACCGGAGUCACAGCCUGAGAGAUUCAGAGGGCGUGCUGAGUUCUUCAGUGAGGAGAUUCCCAAAGGCAACUUCUCAAUGAAACUGAGGGAUGUGAAAACUGAAGACAGAGGGGAAUUCAUGUGCAAAGUCCGUACAGACAGAGAAUCAGUCAAUGCAACGGCUUGGCUACAAAAACAGGGUUUUUCCACGUUACAUUGGUGUGUCCUGGGUUUAACCAUGGCUGCUGCAGUUUUUGCAGUUUUAAGUUGUAUUCCUGCUAUUUGCUGCAUAAAAACAGCACAAAAAGAAAAACAAGAAAAAAAGAAAAAAAAGAAAGGGUUAACGACAGAGGAGGAGGAAGAUGAGGAAGAUGAGGAAGAUGAGGAAGAUGAGGAAGAAGAGGAAGAUGAGGAAGAA
Long non-coding RNA from Conger conger (European conger), 465 nucleotides. RefSeq lists it as uncharacterized. Lineage: Eukaryota; Metazoa; Chordata; Actinopteri; Anguilliformes; Congridae. The record is from RefSeq and is a predicted model, not a curated record. The transcript is spliced from 3 exons.